This 6708-nucleotide small RNA is filed under the name Pongo abelii (Sumatran orangutan). Its description in RNAcentral is "retained intron". The record is from RNAcentral. Lineage: Eukaryota; Metazoa; Chordata; Mammalia; Primates; Hominidae.
AUGCCCAUCCUGCUGUUCCUCAUAGACACGUCCGCCUCUAUGAACCAGCGCACUGACCUGGGCACCUCCUAUUUGGACAUUGCCAAAGGCGCUGUGGAGUUAUUCUUGAAGCUGCGCGCCCGGGACCCGGCCAGCCGCGGAGACAGGUACAUGCUGGUCACCUACGACGAACCCCCGUACUGCAUCAAGGCUGGUUGGAAGGAAAAUCAUGCAACAUUCAUGAGCGAACUAAAAAAUCUUCAGGCUUCUGGACUGACUACUCUUGGUCAGGCUCUAAGAUCCUCAUUUGAUUUGUUAAAUCUCAAUAGAUUAAUAUCUGGAAUAGACAAUUAUGGACAGGGGAGAAAUCCAUUUUUUUUAGAACCAUCUAUUUUAAUUACCAUCACAGAUGGAAACAAGUUAACAAGUACUGCUGGUGUUCAAGAAGAGCUCCAUCUUCCUUUGAAUUCCCCUCUGCCUGGAAGUGAACUAACCAAAGAACCUUUUCGUUGGGAUCAAAGGUUAUUUGCCCUGGUGUUGCGUUUGCCUGGAGUGGCUUCUACCGAACCAGAGCAACUAGGGAGCGUACCAACUGAUGAAUCUGCCAUCACACAGAUGUGUGAAGUCACAGGAGGUCGCUCCUACUGUGUGAGAACACAAAGAAUGUUGAAUCAAUGUUUAGAAUCUCUAGUUCAAAAAGUUCAGAGUGGUGUAGUUAUUAAUUUUGAAAAAACAGGACCAGAUCCACUUCCUAUUGGAGAAGAUGGACUUAUGGAUUCAUCUAGGCCAAGCAAUUCAUUUGCUGCUCAGCCAUGGCAUAGUUGUCAUAAACUCAUUUAUGUACGACCUAACUCUAAAACUGGUGUUCCUGUUGGACAUUGGCCAAUUCCAGAAUCUUUUUGGCCAGAUCAGAAUUUACCUUCAUUACCUCCACGAACAUCUCAUCCUGUUGUGAGGUUCUCCUGUGUAGAUUGUGAGCCAAUGGUAAUAGACAAACUUCCUUUUGACAAAUAUGAACUUGAACCUUCACCCUUAACUCAGUAUGUCUUGGAACGAAAGUCUCCCCAUACCUGCUGGCAGGUAUUUGUUACUAGCAGUGGAAAGUACAAUGAACUUGGAUAUCCAUUUGGUUAUUUAAAAGCCAGUACAACUUUAACUUGUGUAAACCUCUUUGUGAUGCCUUACAACUACCCAGUUUUACUUCCUCUUUUAGAUGACUUGUUUAAAGUUCACAAGCUUAAGCCAAAUCUGAAGUGGCGACAGGCUUUUGACAGCUACUUAAAAACUCUGCCUCCAUACUACCUAUUAGUACGUAUUUGUGUGUAUAUAUGUAUUAACUGUAUCAGUGAUAAUUCUUGUCACAAGAAAUGUUAGUGAUCAAAAGCUUUUACUGUUGCAAUAAGAGAGAUAUCUUUUUAUUUUACAGAUAUUUGUGUCGUCACUGUCUUCUCAAAUCAUGUGUAAGAGUUUGGAGAUGUCAUGGCGGCACAAAAGAGAGCUGUUUCUCUAUUUUAUUCCUUUAACUGCCAUGGUUAUUUUUAUAAAACACAUCUAUGUUUCUCUUAUUAAAAGUAACCUUAUGAAAUUAUAACAUUGGAAUUUAAGAAUAAAUAGAUCUGGAUUCAUAUAUUACAUCAACUUCCCUUUUUAACUCUAGAAAUUCUCAGUAUGGGGUUUCCCUCUGGAAAAAGAAAAUCUGAAGACAUUACAGUUGCCUAUUGCCUCUUAAAUGUGUCCUAGACACAGCAUGAAGUUGGGGCACUGGUGGUGGGAGGCGGAAUCCAAAAAAAUUAAGAAAUGACUUGGCCUCAUUUUGGUUUUUAUAGUGUGAAGUAUUCAUGAUUUUGAACUGGUAAUAUAAUCUAAAUCAAGAUUACCAAAAUAAUUUCAGAGGUUGAUGUGGUAACCUUUAAGCCAAGUUUCUAGAGGUGAAAAGGCAGAAUCUUAAAUGGUACCAUUGGUGUCACUGGGAGGAGAAAUUGGGGUGUGUUACUGUUUACCAUGGCAGUAAUGGGGCAAACAAUAAAAUGCAAUGUGAAAUGAUUUGAUGAUUUGGGAAAUAAGAUUGAGUGCAAUUUACUUGUUUGAAUUUGCUGUUACUUGCUCUUCUUAUCCCACUCUCUUCUGAUUUUUUUUUACUUUCUGCUCCUUACUUCUCUGCUAUUUUCAUUGCCACUUUUUAAUGUUCCAUGUUUGGUUUUAUGUGCAGCACCUUGACUUCUAAGAAAUGAAUCAUGUCCCUUUGCCCCUUAUAACUGAACUUUGAGUAUUUUAAGAUUUAUUCUAUUCUUACUGUUGUGUAUUUUGUUUCCUUAUAGCCAUUAAAGAAAGCACUAAGGAUGAUGGGAGCUCCAAAUCUGAUAUCAGAUAAUUUAGAUUGUGGACUUAGUUACAGUGUUAUCUCUUACCUUAAAAAACUCAGCCAACAGGUAGUAUUGGUAAAAACAAACAAACAAAAAUCCUUUGCCCUCAGAAGUGCAUUUCCUUAUUCUUUAGUGUAACUGUAAUUUUUCAAAUUAAAUGUGUAUAUAUCUCUACACUUUAUGGAUUAGUAAUAAUGUGAUUCUCUAUGGCUUCUAGCUUCACCAUUAAGCUGCAGUUAAGGGUCUGUCAGUAUCGUUUGAUGCUGUGCCAUUUCUCCUUUUGCCUGCCAGUUUGUCCUACCCGCAAGCUGGUUGAUAUGGGGCAGAGGUUUAAUAGACUUCUCUCAUGGGUCACAUUUUGUCUAUCUUCAACCUAGUUCCUCCUCAGAUCACUCUGGGCUACAGCAUCCCUCCUGUUUAGAUCAGCACACUGAGGCGUGGUGUGAUUAAAUGACUUGUCUUAGAUUAGUUUUCAGGCAUGUGAAGGACUUAUACUCACAUGCUAGCCCUUGGAUAAAGAGCUAUAUGGUUUUCCCUGGAGAGUGGGGAGAUGAGACCAGUGAUCCUCACACUGGAGGGUGAUAGACCCCAAGGGGAACUGAAGAGUGGAGUUCAGUUUCCUCUCUUCUCACCCUCCACCUGUUCCUCAUUUGCCAUUAUUCACCUUGUCCCUUGCCUGCCCCUCUCUAUUAGUACCUCAUCCUCCACUCACCGUUCCUUAUCAUACUUCUCACCUCUACUUAGCCCAUUCUUGUAGGAUGGAAAUAUUUGAGAACUACUGAGUUAGAACUUUACUACCAUAUGAAUGUGUUAUGUUAUAUGACAAAUUAAUGCAGCAGUUUUACUUACCUUAUGCACAAAGGUAUUCCCAGGUAGGGGACAAUAGUAGCAUUCGCAGUGGUGAUAAUGCUUCAAGGUGGAUGUGUUUGGAAGUUUGGCCUUUAGGAAAUGGAGAGUAGUGAGCAAAACAUCAGAUUUCACCAAAGAACCAAAGUGACUCCACAGUUGGGAUGCCGACACACCUUGCUAGGAACUGACAACAGCUUCAGUAUGGUCUGGAGCUUACCAGCUCCUACCAGUCCAGUGUGCUUAUAAGUGCAAAAGAAAGUAAAGGCAACCCCAGAUUUCUAAUCUACCAAGUGUCCCCCUAACCUCCUUUCCUCUCUGCUAAUAGAUUUUUUGUGGUUGUUGUAAAUGUUUUGGUUUGGUUAUUUAUUUAUUUAUCUAUCUAUUGAUCUAUCGAUUUUUUUAAAUUUGAUGUUUACCUAAGCCUUUAAGGCUGUGUCACCAAGGUAUGGCCACAAGGAAGAAUAGUGUACAGAGAUUUUAAUUAAUGCAAGUUCUGGGACCUUUUGGGGCACAUGUAUCAUUUUACAAAUGAGCUUUCAAGACCAUUUAAGGAAACAGAUGCUUCAUUUGCUCUUAUCUCAUAUUUCAUGACUUAAGAAUUUUUUAGCGAUAAUAAACAUAGACUUAAUUCCAAUAAUUAGGGAAAAUUAAUAAAUAUCUGUUACCAAACCACAAGAAAUCCAAAAUCAUUUUAGGUUUACCGAACAUUGGUGGAAUUCCAUCUUUCUGAGAAAAAGAGAAGAUCAUAGCUAAUUUAUAAUAGCUCAAAUUACUAAUUUAAUAACUGGGUCACCAGUGUUUCUUGAGCCAUUUCAGAUGUAUGUAAAACACAAAAUAUGCCAAAUAUAUAUCGCUAUAAUAACUCAAGCAAUAUUAAUCAAUAUGGUAUAACGACGCCUAUUAAGAGGCUUUUUACAAAUUACUUGGUAAUAUCUGUUAAAUUAAGCAUUAUCUUCUAAGACCUUUUUUGGAUAGUCAAAUAUUAGAGAUAAAUAGUUUAAUUUUUUCAGACCUUUUUUGGAUAGUCCAAUAUUAGAGAUAAAUAGUUUUUUUCAGAUAUAAUGCUAGUCGAUGUGAUCUGAAUUUUAGUACUAGUUUACAUGUAUAAAUACAGUCUUAAACCUUUAUGUCUGAGUCUGAAAUGAACCCGUUCACUUAGACUAGAUUUUAUAGUAACAAAAUGUGCUUUUAAAUGUCUGUGAAUGAAAUUCUUAUUCAUGGUUUUUAUUCUCUCCAUGAUUUUAUUAUAAUUUUGACACUAGACAAGAAAAGAAAAUAUUAUUUGUCUUUCCUGCCCCCUAUCUGUUUGCUGUGGUAGUGCAAAGAAGCACAGGAAAAUGUUUAAUUACCCAUUUUUCUGUGAUUUGUAAUUGAAAAUUGUUCUGUGGGGUUCUGAAAGUAUUAUCUUUCUUAAGUAGUAAAAAUGACAGUGGUAAUGUAGAUGUUUUUAUAACAUACUAUGUACUUUCAUUUUAGACCAAACUAGAGUCAGAACGAAUACUAGCAUCAGUGGGGAAGAAACCUCCCCAGGAAAUUGGAAUUAAAGUGAAAAAUCAUUCUGGAGGUGGCAUGUCCUUGACUCACAAUAAAAAUUUUAGAAAACUAUUGAAAGAAAUCACAGGGGAAACUGCGCUUAGACUGACAGAAUUGAACACCAAAGAAUUUGCUGGCUUCCAAAUUGGGCUCUUAAACAAGGAUUUGAAACCUCAGACAUACAGAAAUGCUUAUGAUAUUCCCCGUAGAGAUCUUUUAGACCAGCUGACCAGAAUGAGAUCCAAUCUGCUGAAAACGCACAAGUUUAUUGUUGGACAAGAUGAAGAUUCCCUUCAUAGUGUUCCAGUUGCACAAAUGGGUAACUAUCAGGAAUAUCUGAAGACAUUGGCUUCUCCACUACGGGAGAUUGAUCCAGACCAACCCAAAAGACUGCAUACUUUUGGCAAUCCGUUUAAACAAGAUAAGAAGGGAAUGAUGAUUGAUGAAGCAGAUGAGUUUGUAGCAGGGCCACAAAACAAAGUGAAACGUCCAGGGGAACCCAACAGUCCUAUGUCAUCUAAGAGAAGGCGGAAUGCUACUGUCAUUCACGAUGGCCAUGAGGAGAAGAUGGAAAAUGGUCAGAUCACACCUGAUGGCUUCCUGUCAAAGUCUGCUCCAUCAGAGCUUAUAAAUAUGACAGGAGAUCUUAUGCCACCCAACCAAGUGGAUUCUCUGUCUGAUGACUUCACAAGUCUCAGCAAAGAUGGGCUGAUUCAAAAACCUGGUAGUAACGCAUUUGUAGGAGGAGCCAAAAACUGCAAUCUCUCCGUAGAUGACCAAAAAGACCCAGUAGCAUCUACUUUGGGAACUAUGCCAAAUACAUUACAAAUCACUCCUGCUAUGGCACAAGGAAUCAAUGCUGAUAUAAAACAUCAAUUAAUGAAGGAAGUUCGAAAGUUUGGACGAAAAUAUGAAAGAAUUUUCAUUUUGCUUGAAGAAGUGCAAGGACCUCUGGAGAUGAAGAAACAAUUUGUUGAAUUUACCAUCAAGGAAGCCGCAAGGUUUAAAAGACGAGUCCUAAUUCAGUACCUCGAGAAGGUACUAGAGAAAAUAGAUUCCCACCACCUUCUCAACAACAUUAAUCACAUCAACAGCAGAUCAUCAUGUUAGUGCAAAGACCAAUGAGAAAAAAAUGACAAGUUUUCUGUGCUGUAGGAUGGAACAGGAUAUUGUUGAAGCCUCCUGGAAUGUUUGAGUCAAGGGAAUUGCUUUCCAGAUGCUAAGAAGAAGCAGUGGGGCUUUUGAAUUUUAUGAUUAUCUGGCAGUGAAAGCUGGGCUUUUGCCUUAAUAAUUUUUUAAAGUAUGAGUUGUUUUGUUUUGUUUUCCUCAAUUGAGGAAGCUGAUGUUAUUAAUUCAGCAGGCUAAAUUCAGUAAACACCGCUGCCCCUACCACGGGUAAUGAGAGGUCACUCACUUGAACUUUGCCAUUCCAGGCAUUCUCAGAGUGGCUAGGGGCCACCUGCAAGUGGAGCACAACUUGGUGCUCUUACUGUGUCCUUCAGAAAGAAUAGGUGUACAGAAAAGAAAUGGCAAUCUUAUGUGAGCUGAACAAAGUUUUCAACAAUUCCUAGUUGUGCCUUUUAAACCAUGCAAUAUUCAGGAUAGUUUGAAUCAAAGAAGUAAGAAGCUGCUAUUUGGGUAACUUAUUUCUCUGUGGGAAGGGGCAGGGAGAGUCACCAAACAAUCUACCUCCAACUCUCUUCUCGUUUGUCUAGAGACAUUACAAAGUGCACUUGAGGCUGCCCCCAACCUCUGACAUUUGUUCUUGCAUGUGAUGAUAGAAAAUCUUCAGAUGGACUUAUACAUUCUGUGCUUUGGAAGCACAAGAAGAUCAAAAAAUGUAUAUAUUUCCUUUAAUGUUUAUACAAAAGUUUAUAUGGAGCAGUAUUGUUAUGUUUGUAUGAAUUUGCAAAAAUUAAAGUGUACAAAGAGAUUUUGAUUUUGCAUAUAUAAAAUAAAUCAUUUUAUUGAUUUUCACGGGUUC